Molecule: long non-coding RNA, 1465 nt
Filed under: Gossypium raimondii (Peruvian cotton)
Lineage: Eukaryota; Viridiplantae; Streptophyta; Magnoliopsida; Malvales; Malvaceae
Description: long non-coding RNA (GRAI_LNC007545)
Source: RNAcentral
UGAGUCUAAACAUAUGUAAACAAUGUGUACACAUACAAACAAUUAGUGAAGCAUACAACCAUCAUUAUAAUAGAACAUACAGUAAAUCACGGCAUUACAGCCCUUGGUAUUACAAUUUUUUUACAUGACAUGCUCAUAUGAAACAGUGCAAAGGUCCUACCCAUCCAUUUGCUGCAAACUACGGGUUUCUAGUACUCGUCAUCUGAUACACCAAAACAGUAAGAGUCGUAGCUCAAUAUGGAUGAACAAUCAGUAACAAUAUGCAGUUAAACUGUCAAUAAUUUGGCGACAAGCUGCUAGUAAGUUGCGGACCAAUACUCCAAAGGUUGCAGAUUAACUGCUAGUGCAAUAAUGCCGAUAAACUGUCAAACUCCACGGAACUCCUUCGUCACCAAUCAAUCCCCAAGCCCCAUGCAAUGCAAUAUGUCAUACCAAUAACGUAGCAUAUCAUGCUAGUCAUUGACAAUAUCAAUAGCAGUGGUAUGCUUAACAUGCUUUCAGUUUAUCACUAUCAGUGAUAUGUUUUACAUGCACUUGAUAUGUACAGUAAAAAUCAGUGGCCUGCUUUUACAUGUAAACAAUAAGCAAUAAAACAUCAUACAUCCCAAUAGACAUACAAUCAAAUAAUUCAUAUGACACUUACACACCCAAUUAACCACAAUUAAAGGCCUUUAAACAUUCAACCAUCACUUCUUAACACCUACUAUGUUUGACAGUCCCUUAUCUAACACAAGGCCACUCAGCCAUGUACAAAAAUAGCAUGCACAAUCAGCCAUCAUGCAUAACACAUACUUUCAAUAAUCAUCAAUACACCCAAAGUUAGGAACCAUACCUGAAAACACAAUUUGAAACACUAAAACUAAUCCACAACUCCUAUGUCUUAAAUCUGACUAAAUCUCAUUUAGAUUUGUACCUAACACGAAGAAAUUACACAUCAGAAUCAACCAUAAAACACCCUAUAGGGUUUAGCCAAAUCAGGGAAACAAACCAAAAUUUCAUAUCUGAGUUUCCAAGAUCACUCACACUUCUACUAAUUAAACGAAAGAUGCGUACGGCCCCAAACUUCACUGGAGAUCUGAAGAAAUUUAGGGUCUGGACUUUUGACAAAGAAAAAAUCAUGAAAUUAGCACAUGAGAAAUUCGACCAUAGGCCCUGUAGUAUUCAACCAUCAUAGGAAAAGGAAAGAAAACAAAGAGAGGGUGGUAGGUUUCUAAUGGAGGACAACAACAAUGGUGGUUGUUCACUAGAGCGAUGGCAACAAUGUAAGAAAGAAGAAGAGUAUGGGAGAAAAUUAGGACUUAGGGGGCGACACAAUGAAAAAAAAAGAAAGGAAAAGAAAAUUGGGGAAAAUGAGAGAAAAGAGAAGAGAGGGAAAAAAUAAUCAAAAGAGGUUGAACAAAAAAUAAAAUACAAUUUAUACCUAGGGUUACAACAUGGGACGACACAACUAGGGUUCUAUGCAAAA